UACGAACUGCGCAAACGUUAUUCGGAAUCACUGGGCUUACAGGGUGCGUAGGCGGCGGGGAAAGUAGGGUGUGAAAUGCCUUGGCUCAACCAAGGCACAGCGCUCUAAACUACCUCGCUCGAGUGAGUCAGGGGUACGCGGAACUUCCGGUGGAGCGGUGAAAUGUGUUGAUAUCGGAAGGAACACCGGUGGCGAAAGCGGCGUACUGGGGCUCAACUGACGCUGAGGCACGAAAGCCAGGGGAGCAAACGGG
This 253-nucleotide ribosomal RNA is filed under the name uncultured bacterium. RNAcentral describes it as "partial 16S ribosomal RNA". It matches the Rfam family "Bacterial small subunit ribosomal RNA", at positions 524 to 776 of the family's 1533-position model. The record is from RNAcentral.